AUUGAACGCUGGCGGCAUGCCUUACACAUGCAAGUCGAACGGCAGCGCGGGAGCAAUCCUGGCGGCGAGUGGCGAACGGGUGAGUAAUAUACCGGAACGUGCCCUGUAGCGGGGGAUAGCCCGGCGAAAGCCGGAUUAAUACCGCAUACGCUCUACGGAGGAAAGCGGGGGUCGCAAGACCUCGCACUAUAGGAGCGGCCGAUAUCGGAUUAGCUAGUUGGCGGGGAAAAGCCCACCAAGGCUACGAUCCGUAGCUGGUCUGAGAGGAUGAUCAGCCACACUGGAACUGAGACACGGUCCAGACUCCUACGGGAGGCAGCAGUGGGGAAUUUGGACAAUGGGCGCAAGCCUGAUCCAGCCAUGCCGCGUGAGUGAAGAAGGCCU
Molecule: ribosomal RNA, 384 nt
Filed under: uncultured bacterium
Lineage: Bacteria
Description: bacterial SSU rRNA
Rfam family: Bacterial small subunit ribosomal RNA
Source: RNAcentral